UGGGGAAUAUUGGACAAUGGGCGCAAGCCUGAUCCAGCCAUGCCGCGUGAGUGAUGAAGGCCCUAGGGUUGUAAAGCUCUUUCACCGGUGAAGAUAAUGACGGUAACCGGAGAAGAAGCCCCGGCUAACUUCGUGCCAGCAGCCGCGGUAAUACGAAGGGGGCUAGCGUUGUUCGGAAUUACUGGGCGUAAAGCGCACGUAGGCGGACAUUUAAGUCAGGGGUGAAAUCCCGGGGCUCAACCCCGGAACUGCCUUUGAUACUGGGUGUCUCGAGUCCGGAAGAGGUGAGUGGAAUUCCGAGUGUAGAGGUGAAAUUCGUAGAUAUUCGGAGGAACACCAGUGGCGAAGGCGGCCAUCUGGACAGAUACUGACGCUGAGACGCGAAAGCGUGGGGAGCAAAC
RNAcentral lists this ribosomal RNA (401 nucleotides) under uncultured bacterium. Its description in RNAcentral is "bacterial SSU rRNA". It matches the Rfam family "Bacterial small subunit ribosomal RNA", at positions 355 to 773 of the family's 1533-position model. The record is from RNAcentral.